GCAUAUCAAUAAGCGGAGGAAAAGAAACCAACCGGGAUUGCCUCAGUAACGGCGAGUGAAGCGGCAACAGCUCAAAUUUGAAAGCCCGCGGGCGUUGUAAUUUGCAGGCGGAUGUUUUGGGGCGGGCGCUGUCUACGUUCCUUGGAACAGGACGCCGCAGAGGGUGAGAGCCCCGUGCGAUGGCGCCUUUAACCGCGUAAAACUCCGCCGACGAGUCGAGUUGUUUGGGAAUGCAGCUCCAAGUGGGUGGUAAAUUCCAUCUAAAGCUAAAUACUGGCGAGAGACCGAUAGCGAACAAGUACAGUGAUGGAAAGAUGAAAAGCACUUUGAAAAGAGAGUGAAACAGCACGUGAAAUUGUUGAAAGGGAAGGGUAUGCGAUUAGCGGCCAGCAGGAGGUGCGUUCUCGCGAAAAGGCCGUGCACCGUCUUCGGACACCGUGCGCGGAGAUGGCGAGGGGGCGCCUGAGGUCUGCGACUCGAGGUUGCUGGCGUAAUGAUUGCAUACCACCCGUCUUGAAACACGGACC
RNAcentral lists this ribosomal RNA (527 nucleotides) under Diutina mesorugosa. Its description in RNAcentral is "LSU rRNA". It matches the Rfam family "Eukaryotic large subunit ribosomal RNA", at positions 38 to 667 of the family's 3401-position model. Lineage: Eukaryota; Fungi; Ascomycota; Pichiomycetes; Serinales; Debaryomycetaceae. The record is from RNAcentral.